UGGGGAAUAUUGCACAAUGGGCGGAAGCCUGAUGCAGCAACGCCGCGUGCGGGAUGACGGCCUUCGGGUUGUAAACCGCUUUCGCCUGUGACGAAGCGUGAGUGACGGUAAUGGGUAAAGAAGCACCGGCUAACUACGUGCCAGCAGCCGCGGUGAUACGUAGGGUGCGAGCGUUGUCCGGAUUUAUUGGGCGUAAAGGGCUCGUAGGUGGUUGAUCGCGUCGGAAGUGUAAUCUUGGGGCUUAACCCUGAGCGUGCUUUCGAUACGGGUUGACUUGAGGAAGGUAGGGGAGAAUGGAAUUCCUGGUGGAGCGGUGGAAUGCGCAGAUAUCAGGAGGAACACCAGUGGCGAAGGCGGUUCUCUGGGCCUUUCCUGACGCUGAGGAGCGAAAGCGUGGGGAGCGAACAGGCUUAGAUACCCUGGUAGUCCACGCUGUAAACGGUGGGUACUAGGUGUGGGGGUCCAUUCCACGGGUUCCGUGCCGUAGCUAACGCUUUAAGUA
Molecule: ribosomal RNA, 502 nt
Filed under: uncultured bacterium
Lineage: Bacteria
Description: partial 16S ribosomal RNA
Rfam family: Bacterial small subunit ribosomal RNA
Source: RNAcentral